GAAUUCGCCCUUAGAGUUUGAUCCUGGCUCAGGAUGAACGCUGGCGGCGUGCUUAACACAUGCAAGUCGAACGGGAAAUAUUUCAUUGAGACCUCGGUGGAUUUGAUCUAUUUCUAGUGGCGGACGGGUGAGUAACGCGUGGGUAACCUGCCUUAUACAGGGGGAUAACAGUCAGAAAUGGCUGCUAAUACCGCAUAAGCGCACAGAGCUGCAUGGCUCGGUGUGAAAAACUCCGGUGGUAUAAGAUGGACCCGCGUUGGAUUAGCUAGUUGGUGGGGUAACGGCCCACCAAGGCGACGAUCCAUAGCCGGCCUGAGAGGGUGAACGGCCACAUUGGGACUGAGACACGGCCCAGACUCCUACGGGAGGCAGCAGUGGGGAAUAUUGCACAAUGGGCGAAAGCCUGAUGCAGCAACGCCGCGUGAGGGAAGACGGUUUUCGGAUUGUAAACCUCUGUUUUCGGUGACGAACAAAUGACGGUAACCGAGUAGGAAGCCACGGCUAACUACGUGCCAGCAGCCGCGGUAAUACGUAGGUGGCAAGCGUUAUCCGGAAUUACUGGGUGUAAAGGGAGCGCAGGCGGGAUAGCAAGUCAGCUGUGAAAACUAUGGGCUCAACCCAUAAACUGCAGUUGAAACUGUUAUUCUUGAGUGGAGUAGAGGCAAGCGGAAUUCCGAGUGUAGCGGUGAAAUGCGUAGAUAUUCGGAGGAACACCAGUGGCGAAGGCGGCUUGCUGGGCUCUAACUGACGCUGAGGCUCGAAAGUGUGGGGAGCAAACAGGAUUAGAUACCCUGGUAGUCCACACUGUAAACGAUGAUUGCCUAGGGGGGGGGGUCUGACCCCCUCCGUG
Molecule: ribosomal RNA, 850 nt
Filed under: uncultured bacterium
Lineage: Bacteria
Description: bacterial SSU rRNA
Rfam family: Bacterial small subunit ribosomal RNA
Source: RNAcentral